This 414-nucleotide ribosomal RNA is filed under the name uncultured microorganism. RNAcentral's name for it is "bacterial SSU rRNA". It matches the Rfam family "Archaeal small subunit ribosomal RNA", at positions 459 to 872 of the family's 1478-position model. The record is from RNAcentral.
CAGCCGCCGCGGUAAUACCGGCGGCCCGAGUGGCGGCCACUAUUAUUGGGCUUAAAGCGUCCGUAGCCGGGUUGGUUAGUCUCCCGGGAAAUCUGGCCGCUUAACGGUCAGAAUUCCGGGAGAUACUGCCAGCCUAGGGACCGGGAGAGGCCGAGGGUAUUCCCGGAGUAGGGGUGAAAUCCUGUAAUCCCGGGAGGACCACCUGUGGCGAAGGCGCUCGGCUGGAACGGGUCCGACGGUGAGGGACGAAGGCCAGGGGAGCAAACCGGAUUAGACACCCGGGUAGUCCUGGCUGUAAACGAUGCGGACUUUGUGUCGGACAAGCUAUGAGCUUGUCCGGUGCCGGAGGGAAACCGUUAAGUCCGCCGCCUGGGGAGUACGGCCGCAAGGCUGAAACUUAAAGGAAUUGGCGGG